UACAUGUGGGGCAAGCGUUGUUCGGAAUCACUGGGCAUAAAGGGUGCGUAGGCGGCUUGUUAAGUCAGGGGUGAAAUCCCACGGCCCAACCGUGGAACUGCCUUUGAUACUGAUGAGCUUGAGUGCGUGAGGGGUAACCGGAACGAGUAGUGUAGCGGUGAAAUGCGUAGAUAUUACUCGGAAGGCCAAAGGCGAAGGCAGGUUACUGGUACGCAACUGACGCUGAGGCACGAAAGCGUGGGGAGCAAACAGGAUUAGAUACCCUGGUAGUCCACGCCGUAAACGAUGAGCACUAGGUCGGUGGCACGCUACGUGUUGCCGGCCGCAGAAAAUUUGUUAAGUGCUCCGCCUGGGGAGUAUGGUCGCAAGGCUG
Molecule: ribosomal RNA, 373 nt
Filed under: uncultured prokaryote
Description: bacterial SSU rRNA
Rfam family: Bacterial small subunit ribosomal RNA
Source: RNAcentral